UUGUAUUUUGGCCUGGGAGUUAGAGCGCCCUCCUGUGGUGAAAUCCAGGUUACAUCGCUACACUGAGAAGAACGGAUCAAAUUGGUUAAAAAUAUGGACACCAAGGACAUGUCUUGUCCAAGGACAAAUCACUGGUUUUGGGUAAAUCUGCUGGGACAGGGGACACAGGACUCAAAACUGGAACUGUCCCGGGCAAAUAGGGACGCCUGGUCACCCUAUUUUAGACAAUUUAAUUUCACCUUAAAUAUUUAGUUGUGAAACCCAUGGAACAUUUAGCAAAGCAGUUGAUCAGCUCCAAUUAAAGAACAGCCUUGAAGACCCGGGAAGAUUGCACUGGACAAGUGUGGAGACUUUAAACACGACCUGCUUGGCUUCAACAGCUGCAUGCUAACCCAUUGCUCUGAUUGUCGUCCUGCUUCCACUGCCCUGGUGAAUACUAGCAAGGUCCUUAAUGUGUGAGAUCAAGAGGAAAAUAAGGCUCUCCAAAUGGAAUCAAAUCACACAGGGAGGCAGGCCGGCUGGCAGCAGAAGGCCUUUGCAGCAUUAAAGCCCGAAUAAGACAGAGCAAUUGGACUGUAAUUCCUAUUCCAGCUAUUAGGCCGUCACUGCAACCGCUCACUUGCUUGGUUUGCUUCUCAUUACCCCUUCAGUCCCCACCCCUCCGAACCACCACUUUGAUUAAUUGAUUAAUUCACAAACUAAAACUGAAUCACAUCGCGGUGCUUGGUUGAUUCAAAUUGGACGCGGGGUACCAAUCAGUCCCUCCCACCACAAACAGAAAAUACACCCAGUAAAUAGAUCUCUGUCCAUUUGGCCUGAUAAUUUGUUGCAUUUUCAUGUUUUAUUUAUGAUCAGAAAGCCGCCUGCUCCCGUAUAUCACAGACGCAAUGAGCCGGGGCGGGUCUGCUGCUAUUGAUUCGGGUUGACGGUGCUCCCCUCCACACAGCCUCCCGCUACACCCUUCGCAGUUUGUAUUCGUCCCCAGUUCUGAGCCCUGUAGCCCUGGUGCAUUGGCGCUCAUUCAGCACUCCCCUUCCUGGCUGACACCCGGCCCAAUCCCAUUCCCAUGCAUUCAAUAUUCCCAUUAUAAGCUCAUUAGUCGAGUCAUUGUUUUGGGCUCAUUAAUAGGAUAUCCAUCGCCUUAGACACCUUCAAAUUACCAUGUCUCACUGAGGCCUUUCAGAGCAUCAACAGUGCGGAGAUUUGGGAUUGUACGCUCGAUCGCGGGCCACAGCAACCUUGAGUUUGCUGACAUGUCCGCCUCUGUGGAAACCUGCUGACACACUUUAUGUAGAUGCACAGUCUCCUCCGAAGCAUCCGCCCCCACCCACUCGUUCCCACAGGCUUGUCCGUCAGAGAUGCAGGAGACAGCGGAGUGAGCCAGUGAGGGGGAGGUAGGGCCAGAUUGGAUUUUUAACAUGCGGAGCAGCUCUUCCUCUGCGUAUGUAUUGAUCCUCAGAGGCCUCCCAAGCCCCCGUUUUUCCUUUCUUUCCCUGGCAGUGGAGGCCAUUCAUCACCGGGGCCAUGACUGGAGAGCUCAAACAGCCGUCUCUGUCAGAAAAUGGGCUGCGCUCUGCCACACUGCUCUGGCCUCUCUCAUCAGUGGGAUGAAAGCUUGACAGCGACUCAUUGUAUGUUCUGUUUCUCUCCAUCCUAAGACAUCUGCAGA
This is a long non-coding RNA of Boleophthalmus pectinirostris (great blue-spotted mudskipper), 1669 nucleotides long. RefSeq lists it as uncharacterized. The transcript is spliced from 3 exons. Lineage: Eukaryota; Metazoa; Chordata; Actinopteri; Gobiiformes; Gobiidae. The record is from RefSeq and is a predicted model, not a curated record.